UACAGAGGUCUCAAGCGUUUGUUCGGAUUCAUUGGGCGUAAAGGGUGCGUAGGUGGCGGGGCAAGUUUGGUGUGAAAGCCCUGGGCUCAACCCAGGAAGUGCACUCGAAACUGGCGGGCUUGAAUAUGGAAGAGGGUCGCGGAAUUCCCGGUGUAGAGGUGAAAUUCGUAGAUAUCGGGAGGAACACCAGUGGCGAAGGCGGCGACCUGGGCCAAUAUUGGACGCUGAGG
RNAcentral lists this ribosomal RNA (230 nucleotides) under uncultured bacterium. RNAcentral describes it as "partial 16S ribosomal RNA". It matches the Rfam family "Bacterial small subunit ribosomal RNA", at positions 524 to 751 of the family's 1533-position model. The record is from RNAcentral.